RNAcentral lists this ribosomal RNA (856 nucleotides) under uncultured Neocallimastigales. RNAcentral's name for it is "partial large subunit ribosomal RNA". It matches the Rfam family "Eukaryotic large subunit ribosomal RNA", at positions 1 to 614 of the family's 3401-position model. Lineage: Eukaryota; Fungi; Neocallimastigomycota; Neocallimastigomycetes; Neocallimastigales. The record is from RNAcentral.
UACUAGAGUAGCACUCGCAUAUCAAUAAGCGGAGGAAAAGUACUACCUACGCUUAGGAUGUUGACGAGACUGUCGAUCUCAUCUAUACAUGACUCUGUGCAUAUCAAUAAGCGGAGGAAAAGAAACUAACAAGGAUUCCCCUAGUAACGGCGAGUGAAGCGGGAAGAGCUCAAAUUUGAAAUCUUAAAGGGUUUCCCUUUACGAAUUGUAGUUUAAAGAAGUGUUUUCUGUUGAGGUUUUGGUAGAAGUUCUUUGGAAUAGGACAUCAUAGAGGGUGAGAAUCCCGUAUUUGACCUUUACUUUCAACUUUGUGAUACACUUUCAAAGAGUCGGAUUGUUUGGGAAUGCAGUCCAAAAUGGGUGGUAAAUUUCAUCUAAAGCUAAAUAUUGGCGAGAGACCGAUAGCGAACAAGUACCGUGAGGGAAAGAUGAAAAGAACUUUGAAAAGAGAGUUAAACAGUACGUGAAAUUGUCAAAAGGGAAGCGUUUGACACCAGUGUUGUUUUUCUGAAAAUCAAUUAAAGAACUGUUUAUGCUAAGCUGUUUAGACUUUAUCAGCUAUCUGUUUAGUUUUGAGCUUUUCUUUAAUGCACUUUUCAGUUAACAAGUCAACAUCAAUUUCUUUUGCUGUAAAAAAGCUUGAGGAAGGUGGCUUGAGAUUCGUCUUAAGUGUUUAUAGCCUCUUGCCUAUGCAGUCGGAGAGAUUGAGGUCUGCAGCGUAGAUCCUUCGGGGCUAAAUGCAUUUGUGCUAAGUUAUAGCAUUUCAUAGACAACUUGUUGACUAUGAUUUGUCUUGUAGCUUACUCGCUUAUGUUAUUUUACCUACGCUUAGGAUGUUGAGUCAUCACACAUCUCU